GGGGAUGUAGCUCAGUGGUAGAGCACUUGCCUAAAAUGCACAAGGCCCUGGGUUUGAUGCCCAGCACCA
This 69-nucleotide transfer RNA is filed under the name Ictidomys tridecemlineatus (thirteen-lined ground squirrel). Its description in RNAcentral is "Spermophilus tridecemlineatus (thirteen-lined ground squirrel) tRNA". It matches the Rfam family "tRNA". Rfam says of the family: Transfer RNA (tRNA) molecules are approximately 80 nucleotides in length. Their secondary structure includes four short double-helical elements and three loops (D, anti-codon, and T loops). Further hydrogen bonds mediate the characteristic L-shaped molecular structure. tRNAs have two regions of fundamental functional importance: the anti-codon, which is responsible for specific mRNA codon recognition, and the 3' end, to which the tRNAs corresponding amino acid is attached (by aminoacyl-tRNA synthetases). tRNAs cope with the degeneracy of the genetic code in two manners: having more than one tRNA (with a specific anti-codon) for a particular amino acid; and 'wobble' base-pairing, i.e. permitting non-standard base-pairing at the 3rd anti-codon position. The record is from Rfam by way of RNAcentral. Lineage: Eukaryota; Metazoa; Chordata; Mammalia; Rodentia; Sciuridae.